UUAAUUCUACCCUAGCAUCCAAACUUUCCUUUCAUGGUCAGCCGUCUCCUUUUCUUACACUGACAUUUUUUUUGUUCAUUUCGUGGAUGACACGAGGAGAAGAUUUAAAAUCUGCACCGCUUCUGGCACAGAGUUGUACAUACAUAUUAAGGAGCAGGCAGUUCUGAAGAACGAAUUGAAGACAUUGAAGAAAGGGCGUCGUGUCUAUCAACAGCAACCAAACAGCAAUGUUUAUUUCCUCAGCAACAUAAACCAGUGUCAAAAAGAGUGCCAAAAAAACCUUCAGGAGCUCAACAAGGAGAAGACGUUGUCAGGACAAGGAUAGAUGGACUUGGCACCGAAGUUACGGAACUCGAUAUUUGAUGAAGUCUUUGGGUACUAGUUUUUAUUGUGCUAAUGAGGCAAGUUGAUGGGAGUGGAUGGUAGAUGUGGUUGUCAUGGCAACAGAAAUGCCACAGAGAGGAAUUCAUCAGCUGAAGUUCACAUACCGGUGCAUGUACACUGAAGAAACUAUGGUUUUGUGACACUCGGCAACUAAGUGAUGUUGCCACAAGAGCUGCACAUGCAACGCUAGAGGGAGAUGUAGGGGUGUCACACGGUCAUGCCCUCCCCCCAUUAGUCAGUUCUAUAGGCAAACUUCUGGUGCCAUCAGCAAGAAUGGAAAAGAAUGGGGGGUUUCGGGAACUAGACCACCAGUACACUCAUGAAUGAUACAACCUCCUACCAUUUAAAAUGGUCUAGCAAUGCUCAUGCAUUGCUGCUUUCAAUUUACUGUUUUUGGUGCAUUUGAUGCUUUUAUCUAAGAACUGUAGAUGCCUACCCAGUCCCCAAAGUAUGAAGUUCAUGUCUUGGGAGUGGAUUUGAUUUCUUAAAGUUUUCUACAUGUAAAACUUUUGAAGUUGUUUAUGUAAUAUUUGGUGUGUGUUCCCCUUUGAGAUUAUGAAGUCACGGAGAAUUAAAAAGUUUGUUGGCCUUCAGAGAGUUCACAAGUUGCAAACAGCUGGUCCAGGUGGAUGAUGAAAUGGGGUGGGAGUGUUGCAAAAUACUGGUGUUGCCCUCUGGACCCCUGAGGGCAGGUGUUCAUGGCCUCUUGGCAGCCAGCCAAGUGACGCAGGUGAAACAGAAAGUUUUGCUGGCUGCAUGGUCAGUCUAAACCUUAAUGCCACAGCGCACAUCUGGGGGUGGGGAUGUGUGGUGUUGAAAUUGGAAAAGUUGAGUAAGGAGAGUAAAUGUCUCCACCAAUGACUUUGUAGUUUUAGUUGUUUUGAUGCAUACAAAUGCAUCCAACUGCUUUGUUGACUUUUGUGUAUGUGUAUUUUGUUGACAAAUGCACUGAAAUAAUUUUGGAAAAACAAAUCACAUUUUCUGGCCAUAUUUGUAUGGGGGACGGGCCACAAUUUAGUGAGAUCAGAUUUAGUAUUUGGUUUGACUUUAACAAGUUCUAUAAUUUUUCCAGCUGACAAAACGUUGGGGGAAGGCUUUUUUAGGGGGGUCUCAAAUUACAUGCAUCUGAAGUCCGUGUAUAACACACUUGAUCUUUCAAAGGUAAUGAAUGUUUCUACAGAGCUCAAACGCUACACAUCCAGCCAUCCAAAAAGACCCCAAGGGAACAUUGAUUCUAAAAUUAAUCAUGUUGUGGUAGGGCAAUUUAGAACUGCACCAUAUUGAUGUACACAACCAACAGCGUAAUCUCGGCUAAUACGAUUGUAAGCCAUUUGUACAUGUUCACAGCAUUCAUGUAUUAGGCAAAGCUGCUUACCUCAGUGGUCAGGUGGUGGGUCAACUCUAGGGAAGUUCUCACUGGAAAUAGGCAAAGUUUGUUGAACCUUGUACAACCUUCCUCCUCAUGUCUGGCAGGUUUCAGACUAUCCCGCCCAGCAAGAAAUGAGACCGAGGGGUACCCCCCCACGUCCAAUCCCUAUA
This is a long non-coding RNA of Acanthaster planci (crown-of-thorns starfish), 1923 nucleotides long. The record is from RefSeq and is a predicted model, not a curated record. NCBI's taxonomy places the organism in Eukaryota, Metazoa, Echinodermata, Asteroidea, Valvatida, Acanthasteridae.